This 21-nucleotide non-coding RNA is filed under the name Arabidopsis thaliana (thale cress). The record is from RNAcentral. Lineage: Eukaryota; Viridiplantae; Streptophyta; Magnoliopsida; Brassicales; Brassicaceae.
AUUAGCUUAGGCAGCUCGUGC